UUUAAAUUUAGAGUUUGAUCCUGGCUCAGGACGAACGCUGGCGGCGUGCUUAACACAUGCAAGUCGAGCGAUGAAGCUUCCUUCGGGAAGUGGAUUAGCGGCGGACGGGUGAGUAACACGUGGGUAACCUGCCUCAAAGUGGGGAUAGCCUUCCGAAAGGAAGAUUAAUACCGCAUAAUAUAAGAGAAUCGCAUGAUUUUCUUAUCAAAGAUUUAUUGCUUUGAGAUGGACCCGCGGCGCAUUAGCUAGUUGGUGA
This 256-nucleotide ribosomal RNA is filed under the name Clostridium botulinum Af84. RNAcentral describes it as "partial 16S ribosomal RNA". It matches the Rfam family "Bacterial small subunit ribosomal RNA", at positions 1 to 255 of the family's 1533-position model. The record is from RNAcentral. Lineage: Bacteria; Bacillati; Bacillota; Clostridia; Eubacteriales; Clostridiaceae.